RNAcentral lists this transfer RNA (95 nucleotides) under Marasmius sp. AFHP31. Its description in RNAcentral is "tRNA-Cys". It matches the Rfam family "tRNA". From Rfam's summary of the family: Transfer RNA (tRNA) molecules are approximately 80 nucleotides in length. The record is from RNAcentral. Lineage: Eukaryota; Fungi; Basidiomycota; Agaricomycetes; Agaricales; Marasmiaceae.
GACCAGAUAGUUGAAUGGUAGAUAUCGACGUACAGUACACGUUGCUGAGUGUGCAAGAACCGUCGAGGGCUCGGGUUCGAAUCCCGAUCUGGUUA